UGGCUCAGUUGGUAAAGAAUCUGCCUGCUAUGCAGGAUACCCAGGUUCGAUCCCUGG
This 57-nucleotide transfer RNA is filed under the name Bos taurus (domestic cattle). It matches the Rfam family "tRNA", at positions 8 to 63 of the family's 71-position model. Rfam says of the family: Transfer RNA (tRNA) molecules are approximately 80 nucleotides in length. Their secondary structure includes four short double-helical elements and three loops (D, anti-codon, and T loops). Further hydrogen bonds mediate the characteristic L-shaped molecular structure. tRNAs have two regions of fundamental functional importance: the anti-codon, which is responsible for specific mRNA codon recognition, and the 3' end, to which the tRNAs corresponding amino acid is attached (by aminoacyl-tRNA synthetases). tRNAs cope with the degeneracy of the genetic code in two manners: having more than one tRNA (with a specific anti-codon) for a particular amino acid; and 'wobble' base-pairing, i.e. permitting non-standard base-pairing at the 3rd anti-codon position. Lineage: Eukaryota; Metazoa; Chordata; Mammalia; Artiodactyla; Bovidae. The record is from Rfam by way of RNAcentral. RNAcentral also lists the same sequence under 2 other names.